This 82-nucleotide ribosomal RNA is filed under the name Ailuropoda melanoleuca (giant panda). Lineage: Eukaryota; Metazoa; Chordata; Mammalia; Carnivora; Ursidae. The record is from RNAcentral.
AUACCACCCUGAACGUGCCCAAUCUCAUCUGAUCUCGGAAGCUAAGCAGGGUCAGUCCUGGUUAGUACUUGGAUGGGUGACC